CCUACGGGGGGCAGCAGUGAGGAAUAUUGGUCAAUGGGCGAGAGCCUGAACCAGCCAAGUCGCGUGAAGGAUGACGGCCCUACGGGUUGUAAACUUCUUUUGUCAGGGAGCAAUUGAGUCCACGUGUGGGCUUAGCGAGAGUACCUGAAGAAAAAGCAUCGGCUAACUCCGUGCCAGCAGCCGCGGUAAUACGGGGGAUGCGAGCGUUAUCCGGAUUUAUUGGGUUUAAAGGGUGCGUAGGCGGAAUAUCAAGUCAGCGGUAAAAAUUCGGGGCUAAACCCCGUCGUGCCGUUGAAACUGAUGUUCUGGAGUGGGCGAGAAGUAUGCGGAAUGCGUGGUGUAGCGGUGAAAUGCAUAGAUAUCACGCAGAACUCCGAUUGCGAAGGCAGCAUACCGGCGCCCAACUGACGCUGAAGCACGAAAGCGUGGGUAUCGAACAGGAUUAGAUACCCGAGUAGUC
RNAcentral lists this ribosomal RNA (460 nucleotides) under uncultured bacterium. RNAcentral describes it as "partial 16S ribosomal RNA". It matches the Rfam family "Bacterial small subunit ribosomal RNA", at positions 338 to 795 of the family's 1533-position model. The record is from RNAcentral.